RNAcentral lists this ribosomal RNA (841 nucleotides) under uncultured bacterium. RNAcentral's name for it is "bacterial SSU rRNA". It matches the Rfam family "Bacterial small subunit ribosomal RNA", at positions 556 to 1394 of the family's 1533-position model. The record is from RNAcentral.
GGGUGUAAAGGGAGCGUAGGUGGUUCGGUAAGUCAGAUGUGAAAGCCCGGGGCUCAACCCCGGGAUUGCAUUUGAAACUAUCGUACUAGAGUGCAGGAGAGGUAAGUGGAAUUCCUAGUGUAGCGGUGAAAUGCGUAGAUAUUAGGAGGAACACCAGUAGCGAAGGCGGUCGCCUGGCCCAAUACUGACGCUGAGGCUCGAAAGCUAGGGGAGCAAACAGGAUUAGAUACCCUGGUAGUCCUAGCCGUAAACGAUGGACACUAGUUGCCGGAAGAGUCAAUCCUUCGGUGACGAAGCUAACGCAUUAAGUGUCCCGCCUGGGAAGUACGCCCGCAAGGGUGAAACUCAAAGGAAUUGACGGGGGCCCGCACAAGCGGUGGAGCAUGUGCUUUAAUUCGAUGCAACGCGAAGAACCUUACCUGGGCUUGACAUGGGGGUGAAAGGUCGCAGAGAUGUGAUCCCUUCCGCAAGGAACACCCUACACAGGUGCUGCAUGGUUGUCGUCAGCUCGUGUCGUGAGAUGUUAGGUUAAGUCCUGCAACGAGCGCAACCCUCGCCCUUAGUUGCCAUCAGGUAAUGCUGGGAACUCUAAGGGGACCGCCUGGUUUAACCAGGGAGGAAGGUGGGGGAUGACGUCAAAUCCUCAUGGGCCCUUACGUCCAGGGCUAGACACGUGCUACAAUGGUAGAUACAGCGGGAUGCAAGCUGGUGACAGCAAGCCAAUCCCUUAAAAUCUAUCUCAGUCCCGGAUUGAAGUCUGCAAUUCGACUUCAUGAAGCUGGAAUCGCUAGUAUCGCGAUCAGCAUGCGCGGUGAUACGUUCUCGGCUUGUACUCACCGCC